Molecule: ribosomal RNA, 301 nt
Filed under: uncultured bacterium
Lineage: Bacteria
Description: partial 16S ribosomal RNA
Rfam family: Bacterial small subunit ribosomal RNA
Source: RNAcentral
CAGUAGCCGCGGGAACACGUAGGUGGCAAGCGUUGUCCGGAAUUAUUGGGCGUAAAGCGCGCGCAGGCGGUUUCUUAAGUCUGAUGUGAAAGCCCCCGGCUUAACCGGGGAGGGUCAUUGGAAACUGGGAAACUUGAGUGCAGAAGAGGAGAGUGGAAUUCCACGUGUAGCGGUGAAAUGCGUAGAGAUGUGGAGGAACACCAGUGGCGAAGGCGACUCUCUGGUCCGUAACUGACGCUGAGGAGCGAAAGCGUGGGGAGCGAACAGGAUUAGAUACCGCGUAGUCCCUGUCUCUUAUACA